UUUUUAAAGUCCUUUAUUAGAGCACACCUCUUCCUUAAGUGAAACUAUACACAGAGACACAAUACUGAAACACGGAACAGAACGGCUCCAGCCCACCCAUCCCGUCCCAGUGGAGCGCUUCGGGACAGACCACUCCCCGCAGCAUCAAUUUCAAUUGCUUUUGUACAAGAUUCCAAAUGAAAACAAAACCAAACUAAAUGCCAGGGCUCUCCAAGCACCUGCACUUCCAUGACUUCAUGUAACCCCCUCACCACAAUUACCUACCAAAGAAGCGCCGUCCUGUUUUAUAGGUGAGAAAAUAGGCUCAGAGGAUAUUACAGCCCAAACCCCGUAUCCUCUCUGGACCAUGAUGCCUUGGAAGAACAAAGAUAAGAGAACCCCAUUCCCUAUUUCGGACCUCCGAGACCAACUUUCUCACCCAGAUCUGAAGGUCUCCCAUGAAACAAACGCGAUAGCAGAACUUUCUCCAGUCUAGAGGGCUACACAGACCUGUCUGGACUUGAUCAGAAGCCCUCCAGCACUCAAGAAAGGACACUUUUUGAAAAAAAAAUUGUUUUUAUUGGAACUCAUCUGAACAUCAGAUAUACCUGGUGUUGGUUAGCAAGAACCGUUUGUACAUUUGAUAUUGAUGGUGCCAAAACCAAAACAGUGACUGGACAUGAUGGGGAAAGAUGUUGAGAACAAAUACCUGAUUUUGGAGAGGAAAACAAAAGCCAGUCAGAUUCAGUGAGGAUGCAAAACCUGGUACAACAAAAUCCUUUUACAAAAUAUAAAUUUAUUACGAAAACCUGGAAGGAUAAUCUGAGAAAGGGAAAGAAAGAGAAAAGGAGGCCAGCGGGAAGGAGGCGGGGGCAGCGGGAGGGACGACAAAGAGGACAUGAGAGAAAGAAGAAAACAGAGCUGAGCACAACAGAGGUGCAGAAGCUUACCUGCCCAAACGGCAUUAAAGCCUUGCUAAGGAAUCUCAUCGUUAAACCAAGCAUGCUGGAGUACAGUGCUCUACCUCCCAGCCACCCACUUCUAAGAGGUAAAUCGAGAAGCUCCCUGGGAGGGGGACAUGAGGUUGCGCGAAAACCCAACAACGAAACUGGGAGAAAAAAACCACACCCCACAGUCUCAUUUCCAAUGUUCACUGUUUUAAAAAGGAAUAGAAUAAAAAGUCGUUGCUUUGAUGGUCAGGCAAACACCCAAUUCUGAAGAGGAGGCGAGGUGAUACCCAGCGAGUGUGGGUCAGGAGCCCCAGUGGCUGGCGGAGCGCCUGGCUUUGCAGCCCUCUCCCAGGAGGCAGAGAGCACAGCUUUAGGUAGUGUAAGCCUUUUUCCUUUUAUUUAGAAUAACCUUUUUUUUUUUUUUU
Molecule: long non-coding RNA, 1354 nt
Filed under: Sus scrofa (pig)
Lineage: Eukaryota; Metazoa; Chordata; Mammalia; Artiodactyla; Suidae
Description: lncRNA (ENSSSCG00065065428.1)
Source: RNAcentral